This 395-nucleotide long non-coding RNA is filed under the name Cricetulus griseus (Chinese hamster). RNAcentral's name for it is "lncRNA (ENSCGRG00015040409.1)". The record is from RNAcentral. Lineage: Eukaryota; Metazoa; Chordata; Mammalia; Rodentia; Cricetidae.
AAAAGUAACUAAGACAGUCUCCCUCUAGGUAGGUAUCAUUUUUAUCUCCUAGCACAUAAUCUUUUUUUCUUCAAGACAGGGUUUCUCUUUGUAGAGCAGGCUGACCUCGAAUUCACAGAGAUCUGACUGUCUCUGCUUCCCGAGUGCUGGGAUUAAAGGCAUGAGCUGACACUGCCCAGCUGCACAUAGUAAUUUUUAUCAGAGUCUACAAAGCACCUAUCAUGUUCAGGGCCUGGGCACAAGGGCAAGAAGUUGGAGCUGUUGCAAUCUAGAAGCUUGAAGGAACAGUCCUGCCUGCUCAGGAAAGGAUGCCUGGAGCUCCAGGCUUGCAGCCUCCCUUGUGCUGCUCACUGUGGGCAGAGCCCAGGAUGCUGGCAGCAGGUGAAAGGAACCAG